AUUGAACGCUGGCGGCAGGCCUAACACAUGCAAGUCGAACGGAAACAGGAAGACGCUUGCUUCUUUGCUGACGAGUGGCGGACGGGUGAGAAAUGUCUGGGAAACUGCCUGAUGGAGGGGGAUAACUACUGGAAACGGUAGCUAAUACCGCAUAACGUCGCAAGACCAAAGAGGGGGCCAUUCGGGCCUCUUGCCAUCGGGUGUGCGCAGAUGGGAUUAGCUAGUAGGUGGGGUAACGGCUCACCUAGGCGACGAUCCCUAGCUGGUCUGAGAGGAUGACCAGCCACACUGGAACUGAGACACGGUCCAGGCUCCUGCGGGAGGCAGCAGUGGGGAAUAUUGCACAAUGGGCGCAAGCCUGAUGCAGUCAUGCCGCGUGUAUGAAGAAGGCCUUCGGGUUGUAAAGUACUUUCAGCGGGGAGGAAGGGAGUAAAGUUAAUACCUUUGCUCAUUGACGGUACCCGCAGAAGAAGCACCGGCUAACUCCGUG
Molecule: ribosomal RNA, 490 nt
Filed under: uncultured bacterium
Lineage: Bacteria
Description: partial 16S ribosomal RNA
Rfam family: Bacterial small subunit ribosomal RNA
Source: RNAcentral